GUCGCCAGACGAGUACAUGACCACACCCCUACAGACGGACGCGGAAGGAGGUAGCGGUAGGCGGCCAGCUCGGCGGCUCCUUCGCUCCUUCCCCCUGCGGCUCUGCGGAUGGAUGCGAGAUCACGCCGAGUUCCCCCAAAGUCAAGGCCCCAAGCCCCAAGUCUUCUAAAUUUUUGCACACUCCGAAGCUGCCAGACAGGCCGUGGCCAGCGUCGGGACAUGGAAUGAGAGUCUUGUUGGGUGGGUGCCCGGCAGGUUUACCCCGAGCACCCCUGCCCACACCUUGGCCGGAGCUGAUGCAAAUGAAUGGAGGGAAAAGGAAGAGGACUUGGUCAACGGGCACAGUGCACCACAUGGCGUGCAACAGGUCGAUGAGCAUGAGCAACAAGACAAAGCAUUCGCUAGGAGAUGUUCCUACCCGUGAAGACCCUAAGAGUCUUGCUGGUGGAGAAUGGUGACUACUCGUCAGCUGAUCAGUGCCCUGCUCCGCAAGUGCUGCUAUGAAGUUAACUCCUCAACAUUGUCAUAUCCUAUUAUGUUAUUCUCGACACAUUCAUAUUCCCAACUAGCGAGCAUCCGAGGCUGUGCGUGAUGGUAAAGCAGGUGAGUGAUCGAGGUUGUGCGACCAGGGCACUCACGCAGGCUCUGCAGCGAUGGGGUACUUCUCGCGCAGUGGUAGCGAGGCAGCGGCACAACCCAUGCGCACCGACGGGUGCGUACGCGAGCAGGUGCGCGCGGUGCUCGCUGCUCGUGGACGCGAGCAGCGCAAGGGCGGCGCCAGUGUUGCGUGUGGUGUGGUACACUGGUGUUGCUAGGCACCAGCAGAGUAGAGAAGGUCCAAAAGGCAUCACUUGCAGAGCACAUUGGGAGAAUUAACUUUCAAUUGUUCCAAUACGCAGCGCACUGUGUUAGCAAGCAGAUAGCAAGCAGAUUGAGAGGUACGUAACACCCUUUGUUCAACAUCCCAUCAAAGUUGUGGUUUAUUUUUAUUUUUACAUUUUUUUGUAGCUGCAAUUAUACUUAUAAUAUGUUGUUGGUAGCCCUGUGGGGUGUUGGGGGCUCAGAUUUAUCAUCUAAAGCAAAGAAUUACUGUGCUAUUCAAUUUAUGUUGUGGUUUAUUUUUAUUUUUACUUUUUUUGUAGCUGCAAUUAUACUUAUAAUAUGUUGUUGGUAGCCCUGUGGGGUGCUGAGGGCUCAGAUUUAUCAUCUAAAGCAAAGAAUUAUUGAAGUAUGUACCUGUAGCUUUUUGGUUCUUAUAAUUGCUUAGGGUUGUUACCUUUUUUGGUUACAAAUAUACUGCUCUAUUUGAUUUUUUCAUUGAACUUCAAGAGAGUACGUUUAGAGUUAUUGCGGAUAACUAUGUCACGGAUGAUGGUCGAACGAGUGUUGUCCAUUGUGCUCUUGCUUUUGGCGAAGACGAUCAUUGUGUUUGCCUUGUCAUUGGGAUAUUUGAGGUUGGAAUUAUUCUUCUUUAAUUCAUGUACAUCCUCACUAACUAAUGUGCCGCUAAUGCUAAGGUAUUAAGAGGUUAAGAGAAAUAUGAAGAUCAGUAAACCAUUAAUCUACUAAUCUCCUUUUCAGAAACUUGGGAAAAUAGCGCUAUGUAUUUAACUAAAAUGAUACUAUCAAACCAUAGGUCAUUGGUCUAAUCUAAGUGUCAUUACAGUUUUUACAUAAGUUAGUUCACUGGAGAACAGACUUAUCCGCCUUUAGUAAUGCAUUUGUUGUGUUCUUCCCACUAAUACUGGUACUAAGCUUUUUGUUAUGCUGAUGUCAUAAUUAACGAUAGGGUGGUCACUUGGUCACUGCGCGUGGGCCACGAAAUUUCGUCAUGCAGAUGUAAGUGAAAACUUUGUCAUGUAGAUGUGAGCCACGAAACGCGUCGAACUCAGGUGGCGGUUGGUUGAGCACUUGUAAUGGUAACAUUAAUGUAAAUAAAUAGCAUUGGUAUCUAUUACCAUGGGAAUGAAAAGCGCUAAUUGUUUGGAUA
RNA transcript from Zea mays, 1990 nucleotides. RefSeq lists it as uncharacterized. The record is from RefSeq and is a predicted model, not a curated record. The transcript has 2 exons. NCBI's taxonomy places the organism in Eukaryota, Viridiplantae, Streptophyta, Magnoliopsida, Poales, Poaceae.